GUCUGUUUUGUCAUUUUAGCAUGCAUAUUAUAGCAGAACAGUGGUGCUAAGGCUACUUGAAAAAAAAUACAAAUCUUUGAUUAUUGCAUCUGUUGAGCAGUGUGUUUCCUAUCUUGAAACUUGUGAAUCAGUGGUUGAUAAAACAGGCAGGUUUAAUUCUUCCUCUACAUUGCAUAAUGGUAAUAAACAGAAGAAUUUUUACACUGGAAAAGAAUUGCAGUAUAUAUAUUUUGUUCAUUCCCUGAGCCUCUUAGGAAGAUUGUUGAUAUAUAAACAAGGCAGAAGACUUUUUCCUAUUCAGCUGAAAAACAGAAAAGAUUUGAUGUCCUUGACAGACCUUGUCGUAAUGUUUACUCGUCUUAUCUAUUGCGCCCCAAAUUGUCCAAAGACUCUUACAGUGCAUUCAGGCAAUUAUUCUCCAGCAGGCCUUAUUACUGAUGUGCUCGGAAUUCUUUGUGAGAGAAAAGAAUGUGCAACUGAAUGUCUAUAUACUAAUACAGUGAUAGAAGCACUUCUUCAGCCAAUACAUUAUUUACUGAAUGGAACAGAGGUGCAUCUAAAUUCUCCUGAAACAACUCUAAUACAUAUAGCCGAUAUUUUGGCAAGGAUUGCUGCUGCAGAUGAUGGUCUUUCACUCCUACUCUAUGGAGGAGAGAAGCCCUCUGCCAUGGAGGGUGGUAGCCUUAGGGGUGCACAUACUAUCGUUCAGUUUACAAAGAAGCUUCUUGAUGAAGACAUUUCUGUUCUUUCUGGGUCUGAGAUGUUGCCAGUGCUCAAAGGUGCUUUCAUCUUUGUAUGCCACCAGAUGUAUAGUACUUGCGAAGGCUUAGAGGUGUUGCUACCUUACCAUUUACAUGGAUCUAUUUCUGAGGCUUGGAAAAAGACUAGUUUGCUUUCGGAGAGAAUUCCAACGCCUGUCGCGGGGGCAGAUUGUGUAUCAUCAGCAAGUCAAGAAUCACAGAGCUUAUUUUUUGUACGUCAGGAUCAUCUUCAGGUGCCCUUCUCAAUGUACCCCCACAAUUUCAGGUUAGGCAUAUGACUUCUA
Molecule: non-coding RNA, 1045 nt
Organism: Podarcis muralis (Common wall lizard)
Lineage: Eukaryota; Metazoa; Chordata; Lepidosauria; Squamata; Lacertidae
Source: RefSeq, a predicted model, not a curated record